RNAcentral lists this ribosomal RNA (492 nucleotides) under uncultured bacterium. RNAcentral describes it as "partial 16S ribosomal RNA". It matches the Rfam family "Bacterial small subunit ribosomal RNA", at positions 29 to 507 of the family's 1533-position model. The record is from RNAcentral.
AGUGAACGCUGGCGGUAGGCCUAACACAUGCAAGUCGAACGGCAGCACAGUAAGAGCUUGCUCUUACGGGUGGCGAGUGGCGGACGGGUGAGGAAUACAUCGGAAUCUACUUUUUCGUGGGGGAUAACGUAGGGAAACUUACGCUAAUACCGCAUACGACCUACGGGUGAAAGCAGGGGAUCUUCGGACCUUGCGCGAUUGAAUGAGCCGAUGUCGGAUUAGCUAGUUGGCGGGGUAAAGGCCCACCAAGGCGACGAUCCGUAGCUGGUCUGAGAGGAUGAUCAGCCACACUGGAACUGAGACACGGUCCAGACUCCUACGGGAGGCAGCAGUGGGGAAUAUUGGACAAUGGGCGAAAGCCUGAUCCAGCCAUGCCGCGUGAGUGAAGAAGGCCUUCGGGUUGUAAAGCCCUUUUGUUGGGAAAGAAAAGCAGCAGGUUAAUACCCCGCUGUUCUGACGGUACCCAAAGAGUAAGCACCGGCUAACUUCGUG